UACGGAGGGAGCUAGCGUUGUUCGGAAUUACUGGGCGUAAAGCGCACGUAGGCGGCUUUGUAAGUUAGAGGUGAAAGCCCGGAGCUCAACUCCGGAAUUGCCUUUAAGACUGCAUCGCUUGAAUCCAGGAGAGGUGAGUGGAAUUCCGAGUGUAGAGGUGAAAUUCGUAGAUAUUCGGAAGAACACCAGUGGCGAAGGCGGCUCACUGGACUGGUAUUGACGCUGAGACGCGAAAGCGUGGGGAGCGAACCGG
Molecule: ribosomal RNA, 253 nt
Filed under: uncultured bacterium
Lineage: Bacteria
Description: partial 16S ribosomal RNA
Rfam family: Bacterial small subunit ribosomal RNA
Source: RNAcentral